RNAcentral lists this ribosomal RNA (465 nucleotides) under Vreelandella stevensii. RNAcentral's name for it is "partial 16S ribosomal RNA". It matches the Rfam family "Bacterial small subunit ribosomal RNA", at positions 338 to 795 of the family's 1533-position model. The record is from RNAcentral. Lineage: Bacteria; Pseudomonadati; Pseudomonadota; Gammaproteobacteria; Oceanospirillales; Halomonadaceae.
CCUACGGGAGGCAGCAGUGGGGAAUAUUGGACAAUGGGGGGAACCCUGAUCCAGCCAUGCCGCGUGUGUGAAGAAGGCCCUCGGGUUGUAAAGCACUUUCAGUGAGGAAGAACGCCUGGUGGUUAAUACCCAUCAGGAAAGACAUCACUCACAGAAGAAGCACCGGCUAACUCCGUGCCAGCAGCCGCGGUAAUACGGAGGGUGCGAGCGGUAAUCGGAAUUACUGGGCGUAAAGCGCGCGUAGGUGGCUUGAUAAGCCGGUUGUGAAAGCCCCGGGCUCAACCUGGGAACGGCAUCCGGAACUGUCAAGCUAGAGUGCAGGAGAGGAAGGUAGAAUUCCCGGUGUAGCGGUGAAAUGCGUAGAGAUCGGGAGGAAUACCAGUGGCGAAGGCGGCCUUCUGGACUGACACUGACACUGAGGUGCGAAAGCGUGGGUAGCAAACAGGAUUAGAUACCCCUGUAGUC